This is a long non-coding RNA of Xenopus tropicalis (tropical clawed frog), 177 nucleotides long. RefSeq lists it as uncharacterized. The transcript is spliced from 3 exons. NCBI's taxonomy places the organism in Eukaryota, Metazoa, Chordata, Amphibia, Anura, Pipidae. The record is from RefSeq and is a predicted model, not a curated record.
UAGAAGGGAGUCUUAAGGAGAGGGGAGAGAAGGUGGAAGAUAUCAAACUUGAAAUCAUUUGGCACAUAAUCGGUUCAGUUGCAGUUCCGUAUCCCAGGUGCGUGUAAAGUGAGGAGUGUUCAAGCCAUUCACAUUGAGGGACACAAUUUUCAAAUUAUCCGCCAUCAUACCUAUCAA